GGUGCUACGGUUCAGUGGUAGAGUGUGUGCUUAGCAUGCACGAGGUCCAGGGUUCAAUCCCUGGUACUUCCA
RNAcentral lists this transfer RNA (72 nucleotides) under Camelus bactrianus (Bactrian camel). It matches the Rfam family "tRNA". Rfam says of the family: Transfer RNA (tRNA) molecules are approximately 80 nucleotides in length. Their secondary structure includes four short double-helical elements and three loops (D, anti-codon, and T loops). The record is from Rfam by way of RNAcentral. RNAcentral also lists the same sequence under 2 other names. Lineage: Eukaryota; Metazoa; Chordata; Mammalia; Artiodactyla; Camelidae.